GGAUCCAUAGCUCAGUUGGUUAGAGCGUUCGCUUGACGUGCGAAAGGUCAGAGGUUCGAAUCCUCUUGGAUCCA
This 74-nucleotide transfer RNA is filed under the name Candidatus Levybacteria bacterium RBG_16_35_11. RNAcentral describes it as "tRNA-Val". It matches the Rfam family "tRNA". Rfam says of the family: Transfer RNA (tRNA) molecules are approximately 80 nucleotides in length. The record is from RNAcentral. Lineage: Bacteria; Candidatus Levyibacteriota.